Molecule: ribosomal RNA, 208 nt
Filed under: uncultured bacterium
Lineage: Bacteria
Description: partial 16S ribosomal RNA
Rfam family: Bacterial small subunit ribosomal RNA
Source: RNAcentral
UGCGCAGGCGGGAUUUUAAGUCAGCGGUGAAAUUUUCAGGCUCAACCUGAACACUGCCGUUGAAACUGGGAUUCUUGAGUAUGGAUGAAGUAGGCGGAAUUCGUUGUGUAGCGGUGACAUGCUUAGAUAUAACGAGGAACUCCGAUUGCGUAGGCAGCUUACUAAGCCAUAACUGACGCUCAAGCACGAAAGCGUGGGAGUCAAACAA